CUGACUUUUCAUAGGCUUCAUUUUUCCACUCAUCCACCGCGCUAAAUUCAUCACAUCUCCUGUAAGAUUCUGCCACGUGUUCCAACGGUUAACACGUGUCAGAAUCAUACAUUGAUCACACAGUAGCGUCCCACCGUACAGAUCUCUCCUUCUCCACUAGCUCUGAAGUUGCGGUCCUAUAGCGCACCAAAGACCAUAAACGCAUACACAGGGUAAGCAAAGAAAGAGAGAGAGAGAAUGGAAGGAGGUAGGAGAGUGGGUGUGGCAGUGGAUUUCUCGCCUUGCAGCAGGAAAGCUCUAAACUGGGCGGUGGAUAACCUCGUCCGCGACGGGGAUCACCUUAUCCUAAUUGCCAUACGCCCGGAAGGGAACUAUGAAGAGGGAGAGAUGCAACUCUGGGAGGUCACUGGUUCCCCUUUAAUCCCUAUUCAUGAGUUUUCUGAUCCUGCGAUUAUGAAGAAGUAUGGACUGAAGCCUGAUCCAGAAACCCUGGAUAUUGCAAACACUGCAGCCAACCAGAAACAGGUUGUUGUGGUUAUGAAGAUCUUCUGGGGUGAUCCUCGCGAGAAGAUAUGUGAAGCUAUCGAUAAGGUUCCUUUGAGCUGCCUUGUUAUGGGGAACAGAGGGCUUGGCAAGAUUAAGAGGGCUAUAUUGGGCAGUGUAAGCAACUAUGUGGUGAAUAAUGGAACGUGCCCUGUUACUGUUGUGAAGCAGACAGACUAUGAGAGCUAAAUUUCUUUUGCUAAACAGCAUCCUAUCGUUCAUAGGAUAUAUGAGUGGAUUGGAUUCCAUCAAAUAAUUGUGUUGCUUGCAACUCUCUUUCAAGCUGGAAAGUUUCUUAGUUUGUGUGGAUGUUGUCAUGAUGGUGUUCGAAUAAGUGAGAAUUUAGUGUAAUCCAACCCUUUUUCACAAUGAGAUUUCUUGCGACUUCUAAAAUGGCUAAUAUGCAUGCUGUGUAAUUUAGUGUUUAAAAGGCGUUUCUCUUAAACAGAUGAAAUUUUAACAACUAUCCAUUGACUUCAUGUUGCUUUGCUGUAUAAAUUUUGUAUGUUGAUCGGUAUAGUGUACAAGUGAGGCAUGAGAAUUGAGAUGAAUUAAAAAUAAUUGGAUUUUUAGAGUGAUUCGGAAGUGGAAGCUGAUUGUAUUUAACUUGCAAGUGAAGUGUCCUUCUGCGUGCUGCAGAAUUUUUUCUUGGAUUUUUA
This 1202-nucleotide unclassified non-coding RNA is filed under the name Hevea brasiliensis (rubber tree). Lineage: Eukaryota; Viridiplantae; Streptophyta; Magnoliopsida; Malpighiales; Euphorbiaceae. The record is from RNAcentral.